Molecule: transfer RNA, 72 nt
Filed under: Camelus bactrianus (Bactrian camel)
Lineage: Eukaryota; Metazoa; Chordata; Mammalia; Artiodactyla; Camelidae
Also listed under: 2 other names
Rfam family: tRNA
About the family: Transfer RNA (tRNA) molecules are approximately 80 nucleotides in length. Their secondary structure includes four short double-helical elements and three loops (D, anti-codon, and T loops).
Source: Rfam by way of RNAcentral
GGAGGAAUAGCUCAGUGGUAGAGCAUUUGCUUAGCAAGCAUGAGGUCCUGGGUUCAAUCUCCAGUACCUCCA